GUGGGGAAUCUUGCGCAAUGGGCGAAAGCCUGACGCAGCCAUGCCGCGUGAAUGAUGAAGGUCUUAGGAUUGUAAAAUUCUUUCACCGGGGACGAUAAUGACGGUACCCGGAGAAGAAGCCCCGGCUAACUUCGUGCCAGCAGCCGCGGUAAUACGAAGGGGGCUAGCGUUGCUCGGAAUUACUGGGCGUAAAGGGCGCGUAGGCGGACAGUUUAGUCAGAGGUGAAAGCCCAGGGCUCAACCUUGGAAUUGCCUUUGAUACUGGCUGUCUUGAGUACGGGAGAGGUGAGUGGAACUCCGAGUGUAGAGGUGAAAUUCGUAGAUAUUCGGAAGAACACCAGUGGCGAAGGCGACUCACUGGCCCGUUACUGACGCUGAGGCGCGAAAGCGUGGGGAGCAAACAGGAUUAGAACCCCAGUAGUCC
Molecule: ribosomal RNA, 424 nt
Filed under: uncultured bacterium
Lineage: Bacteria
Description: bacterial SSU rRNA
Rfam family: Bacterial small subunit ribosomal RNA
Source: RNAcentral